RNAcentral lists this ribosomal RNA (215 nucleotides) under Campeiostachys nutans. RNAcentral's name for it is "Elymus nutans partial small subunit ribosomal RNA". The stretch from base 40 to 215 matches the Rfam family "Eukaryotic small subunit ribosomal RNA", at positions 686 to 864 of the family's 1831-position model. Lineage: Eukaryota; Viridiplantae; Streptophyta; Magnoliopsida; Poales; Poaceae. The record is from RNAcentral.
GAGUUAGUAGGUUGGUCAUGCCUCUGGUAUGUACUGGUCUCACUGAUUCCUCCUUCCUGAUGAGCCGUAAUGCCAUUAAUUUGGUGUUGCGGGGAAUUUGGACUGUUACUUUGAAAAAAUUAGAGUGUUCAAAGCAGGCGUAUGCUCGGAUACAUUAGCAUGGAAUAAUGAAAUAGGACGUUCGAUCCUAUUUUGUUGGUUUUAGGAUCAACGUA